Molecule: ribosomal RNA, 253 nt
Filed under: uncultured bacterium
Lineage: Bacteria
Description: partial 16S ribosomal RNA
Rfam family: Bacterial small subunit ribosomal RNA
Source: RNAcentral
UACGGGGGGGGCAAGCGUUGUUCGGAAUUACUGGGCGUAAAGGGCUCGUAGGCGGCCAACUAAGUCGGACGUGAAAUCCCUCGGCUUAACCGGGGAACUGCGUCCGAUACUGGAUGGCUUGAGUUCGGGAGAGGGAUGCGGAAUUCCAGGUGUAGCGGUGAAAUGCGCAGAUAUCGGGAAGAACACCCGUGGCGAAGGCGGCUCUCUGGGACGGUACUGACGCUGAGACGCGAAAGCGUGGGGAGCGAACAGG